RNAcentral lists this ribosomal RNA (528 nucleotides) under Bifidobacterium breve. RNAcentral's name for it is "bacterial SSU rRNA". It matches the Rfam family "Bacterial small subunit ribosomal RNA", at positions 160 to 698 of the family's 1533-position model. Lineage: Bacteria; Bacillati; Actinomycetota; Actinomycetes; Bifidobacteriales; Bifidobacteriaceae. The record is from RNAcentral.
GUGGUAAUGCCGGAUGCUCCAUCACACCGCAUGGUGUGUUGGGAAAGCCUUUGCGGCAUGGGAUGGGGUCGCGUCCUAUCAGCUUGAUGGCGGGGUAACGGCCCACCAUGGCUUCGACGGGUAGCCGGCCUGAGAGGGCGACCGGCCACAUUGGGACUGAGAUACGGCCCAGACUCCUACGGGAGGCAGCAGUGGGGAAUAUUGCACAAUGGGCGCAAGCCUGAUGCAGCGACGCCGCGUGAGGGAUGGAGGCCUUCGGGUUGUAAACCUCUUUUGUUAGGGAGCAAGGCACUUUGUGUUGAGUGUACCUUUCGAAUAAGCACCGGCUAACUACGUGCCAGCAGCCGCGGUAAUACGUAGGGUGCAAGCGUUAUCCGGAAUUAUUGGGCGUAAAGGGCUCGUAGGCGGUUCGUCGCGUCCGGUGUGAAAGUCCAUCGCUUAACGGUGGAUCCGCGCCGGGUACGGGCGGGCUUGAGUGCGGUAGGGGAGACUGGAAUUCCCGGUGUAACGGUGGAAUGUGUAGAUAUC